RNAcentral lists this long non-coding RNA (2829 nucleotides) under Homo sapiens (human). RNAcentral describes it as "HSALNT0386648". The record is from RNAcentral. Lineage: Eukaryota; Metazoa; Chordata; Mammalia; Primates; Hominidae.
GGGACUACAGGCACGAGCCACCAUGCCCGGCUAAUUUUUGUGUUUUUUAGUAGAGACAAGCUUUCACUAUAUUAGCCAGGCUGGUCUCGAACCCCUGACCUCGUGAUCCGCCCACCUCGGCCUCCCCAAGUGCAGGGAUUACAGAUGUGAGCCACCGCGCCCGGCCAACUGCUAGAGUUUUAACAGACCUUUCAGGUGGCUCUGAUGUGACUGAGCUUUGAGAAUCUCUGCCCUAACCCACCAUUUCUAACUCCAAAGCCCAAGGUCUUUCUGGUACUAGAUGAUGGCUGAGGCCUGCAGCCAAUUAGUGGGAAGGGCUGCUGGGGAUGUUAGAGGCAGAGGAAUAAGCGGCCUGACACUCAGCUCCGGGGACACCAAAUAGGUGCUGGCCCUUGUAACCCAGUGAGGAGGCAGCGCUCAUUCCUUUAUCUUAAAAUAUGUCCUGAGCACUUACUGCAUGCCAGAGCCUGGUGCAAAUGCUUAGGGCUUACUAGGAACCUGGGGGUGGAGGGAGCAGGGUUGAUGUGAAGGCUGGGUAUUGAACACAAAGAAUUUGGGUCUUUUGGGGCUCCUGUGGUCUGGUCCACUCCUUGGAGAUACCCACCAGGAGAUGACUCAGCCUUCCUAGUCCAGGAAGGCCCCCGCCUCUUUUUCUGUGAGCCCAGCCAUCACCUUAUUGCCUUCAGCAUGUCCUGAAUGGAUUUUGUCACUGUUACUGGGGCCUGCAAAGCACACAGCCCUCGUGGUCCAGCUAAGACCACCUGGCCACAGGCCGGCCCACAGCCGUACUUGCAGGGUGAACCAAAGUCAAGGAAGGGUCCAGAGAAGCUGGGUCUGAAUGCCACCCACCACUUCCCCAUGUCAGGAGAUGACACUUAUGUGGACACCCCAGGGAUUCCUAUGAUUCCUCCAACCCAUCACCUUUUCUAGAGCACCCCUCACUCCUCUCUCCAGAGUCUCCCACCUUUCCAGCACUGGCUUCCCAAGUUCCACUCUCUGCAGCCUCCAUCUGUGGCCUGGACCCCAGGAUCCAACCCCCUAAACUCCUUCUAGGCAACCAUCUUGGGCAACUUCACCCAAUGACAACCUAUGCUCCUCCUGUUAUUGACAGCCCUGAAAAAAUGGAGUUCAAGGUCAUAGGCCCCAUUGGACCUGAUAUCUUCACCAGGCUCCUGAGAACCCAACUGAGCAGCCCUGUCCUCAGAUUCCAGCUCGGACAUAACAUUGGGGGUCAGAAAACUGACUCCCAAGGUACAAACUGGAACAGCCAGGGGCAACUGUUUGAAAAUGCUGCAGAAACAUGAGAAAUGUUCAUGAAGUGACCCUGUGGAGGCUUCCGGUCACAGGAUCAUGUGAGCGCCACGAUCACCCCAGGGGUGGAGCAGAUGCUAAGUGUUCACCACACCCAAUUCUCUUCCUGGACACACAGGAAGAUGACAUUUCCAGUGACAUGCCCCACCUCUAGGCCCUAGUCUUUUUUUUAUUUAAAGGUCUGAGUCUUGUUCUGUCACCCAGGCUGGAGUGCAGUGCUGUGAUCAUGACUCACUGCAGCCUCAACCUCCUGUGCUCAAACAAUCCUCCCACCUCAGCCUCCCUAAUAGCUGAUGUCAUAUAGGCAUGAGCCAGUGUGCCUGGCUCAGGCCCUACCCUUAAAAGCAUCCCACCUGAUUCACCAGCCCCCUUCUCUCUCUCAGUAAACUUGGAAACCACGCAUUCCAGAUGGUAUAAUUUACAGCAUGAUGGAAAAAGCCAGCUCUCCAUGGGAAGCUGGCCAGUCUUCAUUGGAGUACAUUUUUAUUGCAUGAAGCCAAUGAGACUUGAUAUUGUUUAACUCUGUGGUUUCCAAAGUGCGGUCCUUUUGAAGUAUCCAUAAAGUCUACACUAGGUUCACGGUAAUAUUAAGAUGUUAUUUGUCAGCUGGGCACGGUGGCUCACGCCUAUAAUCUCAGCACUUUGGGAGGCCAAGGCAAAUGGAUAAUGAGGUCAGGAGUUUCAGACCAGCCUGGCCAACAUGGUGAAACCCAGUCUCUACUAAAAAUACAAAAAUUACCUGGGUGUGGUGAUGCAUGCCUGUAAUCCCAGCUACUCAGGAGGAGGCUGAGGCAGGAGAAUUGCUUGAAUCCGGGAGGCAGAGAUUGCAGUGAGCUGAAAUCUCACCACUGCACUCCAGCCUGGGUGAUGGAGCAAGACACUGUCUCAAAAAAAAAAAAAAAGAUAUUAUUUGUCUUUCAUGAGUGUACAGUGGGAUUUUCCAGAGGCUACAUGACAUGUGUUUUUUUAUUUUGUUUUUUAUACUGACAGAGGGGUCUUGCUAUGUUGCCCAGACUGGUCUUCCAACUCCUGGCCUCAAGUGAUCCUCCCGCCUUCACCUCCCAAAGUGCUGGGAUUAUAGGUGUGAGCCACUGCGCCUGGCUGUUUGUGACAUGUGAUGUUGAAACAGGUUGAGUAUAGAAGCAGAUAUGGGAAUUAAACCAGAAUAUUAAACCAGACAUUGAAGAGAUUUGCAAAAAAUACAAAACAAUACCACUGUUUUCACUUUCUUUUUGGUUUGGAAAAAUGUAGUUAUUUUUCAUUAAAAGUAUGUUGUGUUGGCUGGGCACAGUGGCUCAUGCCUGUAAUCUCAACGCUGGGAGACUGAGGUGGGAGGAUCACUUGAGAUCAGGAGUUCGAGACCAGCCUGACCAACAUAAUGAAACCCCAUCUCUACUAACAAUAUAAAAAUUAGCUGGGCUGGCUGAGCGCGGUGGCUCACGCCUGUAAUCCCAGCACUUUGGGAGGCCAAGGCGGGCGGAUCAUGAGGUCAGGAGAUCGAGACCAUCCUGGCUAACA